This 500-nucleotide ribosomal RNA is filed under the name Vibrio parahaemolyticus. RNAcentral describes it as "bacterial SSU rRNA". It matches the Rfam family "Bacterial small subunit ribosomal RNA", at positions 97 to 593 of the family's 1533-position model. The record is from RNAcentral. Lineage: Bacteria; Pseudomonadati; Pseudomonadota; Gammaproteobacteria; Vibrionales; Vibrionaceae.
GGCGGACGGGUGAGUAAUGCCUAGGAAAUUGCCCUGAUGUGGGGGAUAACCAUUGGAAACGAUGGCUAAUACCGCAUAAUGCCUACGGGCCAAAGAGGGGGACCUUCGGGCCUCUCGCGUCAGGAUAUGCCUAGGUGGGAUUAGCUAGUUGGUGAGGUAAGGGCUCACCAAGGCGACGAUCCCUAGCUGGUCUGAGAGGAUGAUCAGCCACACUGGAACUGAGACACGGUCCAGACUCCUACGGGAGGCAGCAGUGGGGAAUAUUGCACAAUGGGCGCAAGCCUGAUGCAGCCAUGCCGCGUGUAUGAAGAAGGCCUUCGGGUUGUAAAGUACUUUCAGUCGUGAGGAAGGUUCAUGCGUUAAUAGCGUAUGGAUUUGACGUUAGCGACAGAAGAAGCACCGGCUAACUCCGUGCCAGCAGCCGCGGUAAUACGGAGGGUGCGAGCGUUAAUCGGAAUUACUGGGCGUAAAGCGCAUGCAGGUGGUUAGUUAAGUCAGAU